This 429-nucleotide ribosomal RNA is filed under the name Gemmatimonadota bacterium. Its description in RNAcentral is "Gemmatimonadetes bacterium partial 16S ribosomal RNA". It matches the Rfam family "Bacterial small subunit ribosomal RNA", at positions 355 to 776 of the family's 1533-position model. The record is from RNAcentral. Lineage: Bacteria; Pseudomonadati; Gemmatimonadota.
UAGGGAAUCUUCGGCAAUGGACGAAAGUCUGACCGAGCAACGCCGCGUGAGUGAAGAAGGUUUUCGGAUCGUAAAACUCUGUUGUUAGAGAAGAACAAGGACGUUAGUAACUGAACGUCCCCUGACGGUAUCUAACCAGAAAGCCACGGCUAACUACGUGCCAGCAGCCGCGGUAAUACGUAGGUGGCAAGCGUUGUCCGGAUUUAUUGGGCGUAAAGCGAGCGCAGGCGGUUUCUUAAGUCUGAUGUGAAAGCCCCCGGCUCAACCGGGGAGGGUGAUUGGAAACUGGGAGACUUGAGUGCAGAAGAGGAGAGUGUAAUUCCAUGUGUAGCGGUGAAAUGCGUAGAUGUAUGGAGGAACACCAGUGGCGAAGGCGGCUCUCUGGUCUGUAACUGACGCUGAGGCUCGAAAGCGUGGGGAGCAAACAGG